UACGUAGGGUGCGAGCGUUAAUCGGAAUUACUGGGCGUAAAGCGUGCGCAGGCGGUUUUGUAAGCCAGAUGUGAAAGCCCCGGGCUCAACCUGGGAAUGGCAUUUGGGACUGCAAGGCUUGAGUGUGGCAGAGGGGACUGGAAUUCCUGGUGUAGCAGUGAAAUGCGUAGAGAUCAGGAGGAAUACCGAUGGCGAAGGCAGGUCCCUGGGCUGACACUGACGCUCAUGCACGAAAGCGUGGGGAGCAAACAGG
RNAcentral lists this ribosomal RNA (253 nucleotides) under uncultured bacterium. Its description in RNAcentral is "partial 16S ribosomal RNA". It matches the Rfam family "Bacterial small subunit ribosomal RNA", at positions 524 to 776 of the family's 1533-position model. The record is from RNAcentral.